GUUAUUUUUCAGCAUCAGAAGAGCCUGAUAGUUGAACUGGAGCGGGCCCCGUCCCCUCCCCCAUACCCACUUCAAACAAAAGAGCUCCUCCGAGAAUAUUUUUUAGGGGGAGAGUGCUUCUGAAUGUGGACCCGUAGUUCUCCCCGCCCCCCGUUCCUAGGAAGGACAAGGGUUUUAUAUGUGUGUUUAAAACAAAGGGGAAUCUUGGCGCGAGUUGCCGGGAAAGGGGCGCUUUUAUUUCGGAGUUCUUGAAGAAUUCACAUUCUUUUCUCCCAAGUUUGCUGCAGCUGAGCCAGAAGUGUCCCCACUGGCUUACCCGAUAGUGAGAUGUUACACGGUGUCGGCUGAGUGUGGCUUUGUGAGAAGAUCGUUUCAGAAGAGGAAACGAGCCUCUGGCUGGUGGGGUAGAAACCCCUGUGGAAUGAAAAGUACUCCCAAGUCUCUUUGCGGAAGAUUGCAAAGUAAGUUUGGGUGAGGAAGAAUGUGACUUUCCGAGUCGGGUAGAGCACGGAUCCCACGAUGGAGAGAAGGUCCCGGCGGGGGGAAGGCCCCUCUUUCUAGGACAAAGCGAUCCUUAAUUGUGGCCAGAGUCCCGGGCGAAUUCGCUGCGCGCGUCUGUCUGCCCGCGCGGCGCUUGGUGGGUAGUCCCGCUUCCACCAAAACUCUGUAUUUCGUUUCUCUCAAAAUAAAACUCAACAAGCCAUAAAGCUUCCGACGCCGGUGGAGAAGGCGCCGCGGAUUUAUGGCCCCCGAAUUCCCCACUCUCUAAUUAUCCUUGUGUUUACUUGACUUAUGGGUAGUGACCAAUAAAAUCAUUUUCCAUUUUGG
RNAcentral lists this long non-coding RNA (828 nucleotides) under Rattus norvegicus (Norway rat). Its description in RNAcentral is "long non-coding RNA NONRATT006347". The record is from RNAcentral. Lineage: Eukaryota; Metazoa; Chordata; Mammalia; Rodentia; Muridae.